UACGUAGGGUGCGAGCGUUGUCCGGAAUUAUUGGGCGUAAAGAGCUUGUAGGCGGUCUGUCGCGUCUGCUGUGAAAAUCCGGGGCUCAACCCCGGACUUGCAGUGGGUACGGGCAGACUAGAGUGUGGUAGGGGAGACUGGAAUUCCUGGUGUAGCGGUGAAAUGCGCAGAUAUCAGGAGGAACACCGAUGGCGAAGGCAGGUCUCUGGGCUGCUACUGACGCUGAGAAGCGAAAGCAUGGGGAGCGAACAGG
This 253-nucleotide ribosomal RNA is filed under the name uncultured bacterium. RNAcentral describes it as "partial 16S ribosomal RNA". It matches the Rfam family "Bacterial small subunit ribosomal RNA", at positions 524 to 776 of the family's 1533-position model. The record is from RNAcentral.